RNAcentral lists this ribosomal RNA (200 nucleotides) under uncultured bacterium. RNAcentral's name for it is "partial 16S ribosomal RNA". It matches the Rfam family "Bacterial small subunit ribosomal RNA", at positions 524 to 723 of the family's 1533-position model. The record is from RNAcentral.
UACGGAGGGUGCAAGCGUUAAUCGGAAUUACUGGGCGUAAAGCGUGCGUAGGUGGUUUGUUAAGUCAGAUGUGAAAGCCCCGGGCUCAACCUGGGAACUGCAUUUGAAACUGGCAAACUAGAGUAUAGGAGAGGAAAGUGGAAUUUCAGGUGUAGCGGUGAAAUGCGUAGAUAUCUGAAGGAACAUCAAUGGCGAAGGCA